This 7945-nucleotide long non-coding RNA is filed under the name Xyrichtys novacula (pearly razorfish). The record is from RNAcentral. Lineage: Eukaryota; Metazoa; Chordata; Actinopteri; Labriformes; Labridae.
UUUGAAUCCCGGUACCCCUCCUCUGAAGGGGUGAUGAAUGACUUCAGGGAUCCAAAAACAACAUCACCUCAUGAUAUUUCCCUUAAAGCCAAUCUUAGAGUUGUGUUUUGAUUGUAAUUCUACUGUUCUAGUCAUCACAUUCUGUUAUCGCUAUAAAAAAAGUGUUUGUUGUGCUCGUAUAGUAAUGCAUAAGUCUUGUUUACCGCAGUUUUCUUGGCCAAACAUCCGACUGGGGUUUUAUUUUGAAGAGGACACUGAGCUGUGAGAGAUUAACCUUGCUAUGAGGGCAGCCUGCACAUGCAUGCGUACAGAUGCAGUUACACAGCGCAAUCAGAAGAGGGUGCUGCCGUAAACAAUCUCCUCUAACUUGAGCUGAAACCCUUCUUCUGUGUAAUCACAGCAGGGGGGGAAUAAAUGCUGUGACAUAAGGCUGUUUAAUCCCUGCUCUUCUGAAAAAUGUAUUCUGUCACGCAGCAAUCUGCUCCUGCUUCCUCUCUGUCUAUUUCUGUGCUGAGCUCAGGCAGGACACUACUCACCACAUUUAUACUCUUUUUACAAAUACACAUACAUCAGAGUGUGCUUGGAAUAGUUUUUUAUUGGUUCACAGUAUAUAAAGCAGUUCUCUCUGUAUACUCGCCUCUGUCUCUGUAUUGCAUAUCCUACGCAGGGCCACAAGCUCCAGCGUGUCCACAUCAGACAGCUGCAGGGUCUUCAUCACAGGCAGGAAUGUCAGUCAGGUGAUCAGCACUUGUCUGUGAUCCAGCAGAGGGCAUGCGAAAUGAGCAAAUGAUGCUGGAGAGUUAGAUGCUGCAGAAGUUGAGGCUUAAAUGAGUUAUACGUCCACGUAUACAGAGAGGCUCUCCAUGUGUUCAUCUAAGUGAUUUCAGAUGGAUGCUGAGAACAGAUUAAUCCUGGACAACAAGGAAGUGGCGACAGCAUGACAUGUUGCGGGUCACGUGACCGACUAUUGUGAUGUAUUGUUCAGCCUGACCAUAAACAUUAAGGCUGACUGUUUGUAUGGAGUACUAUCUAUGAUGUCUCUUGUCAGUGGAUAUUGUUAUGACCGCCUUUAUUUCCAUACAAAGAAUUUUGAUGAGUGACACAUUUGUGUGUCAGUGAAGAAACGAGGGACAUCUCUUUAACCAGAGGGGGAGUCAGAAUCAACACAAACUGAAAGUUCCUCACGUGAGCUUUAAAAAGCUGAUUAAGCCAAAACCAGAUUCUGAUAUCAAUGCUUUUUGCUUUUCUUCACUGUUAUACAUGCUCUACAAACUACAUGGUGCUGAAGGUUCUCAAAGACAUGCACUGACAUAAAUGCAAUGGGAUAAAUAUAAAAUAAUUUACAGAUAAUCAUCAGUUCCUGACAUCAGAGUGUUAUUUACACAUGGCUCAACCUGCAGAUAUGUUGAGGUUUAUUCAGUACAUCUACAGUUAAAAAUGAAAUAAGAUACAGAUCAAAAUUAAUUAUCAUAAACCGAUGCUGACCAGUAACUUAUGCCGGCAUCCUGAUGCAGUUUGGGUGCAGGGAGGAACAUCAGUCACUGCACCAGUACAACCAAAACUUCAGCUUGUCUCUUUUAUCUUCUCCAUUAUUUUUCAGUUUUCUUCUUUACGCUCUCUUCGGGGGACAAAAAACGACACACCUUCUCAACAUCAUAGCAGCUGUUUUAUCUUAAUUUCCCUUGAGGAAAAAAAAAGCAAACAACUAUCUGGAAGUGAGUGUUGCAUUAGUCAGAGAAGCUAGUGUGAUCCAGUUAGUAUCACACUGUAAGGCUGAAUCUUUCAACAUGAAGGAAGCAUAAACAGUGAUGGUAUACAAACUAUAGUCUGGAGUUUAUAAAAAAUUGCAGCUAUUAAAACCCAACCCCUCUGUUUUCACUGUCCUUUUCUUUCUCCUGCACCAACAUAGGAGGGGACGAGGAUGAUAAAGGGCUACAGGAAGGGGAAAGGACGCAGCUAUCUGUCUCUCCACAGUCCUGACCUCCACCGAUCCAGCAACCUGAGAGUCUCAAUGAAAUAUUUAGAGCUUCUGUUUUAUCCGCAGUGCGUUGGUCAAGACAAACUGUGGGCCUCCAUGACGUAAUGCCCGCUGUCUGAUUGGUCCUCACUGAGCAGGGGUGGGUCAGGUGACCUGUGCCGCUGUGGCCUUUUAAGGCAUUAUGAUGCCCUGAGGCUCCACAUUAGACUCAGGGUUGUCUGCUGCAGGUUUGAUCAAUCACUCUUAGCUGCAGUUUUUUUCCUCUGCAAAGCUUUUAGCAGUAAAUCUGCUGUGUGUGAACGUUCUUUAGCCAAUUUUAUGAUGAAAUUGAAUUAAGAAAAUUGUCAGUGCAUCUGCUGACCUAUUGCAUACCUUGUUUUGUAAUAUAAGGCCGUCAGAGUUAAGUGGACUAAUUUGAUCUGAAACUUUUGAGGAUACAUUGUUCUAAAGAUGUUUUAUUUUUCUUUAUAUUUUUUCCUUUCUGAUUAUUUGUCUGCAACUGAUCUGCAUGAACCAUCUCCAACAUGCAUCUCUGUGUGUUGGGUUUCUCAUGCUGGGGCUGGUCUGGCAGGCAUCAGGCUCUCUCUGGUUACAAGCUCUGUUUCAAUAGAACAGUAGGGGGUGGAGGAGGUGCUGCUGGUGGGGACGCAGAGGCAGCAAGCAAUACAAUGACCCCCCGGUCUUUACUAAUAGAUGACCCACUGACUAACAAGCCCCCAUGCACCACCACUGUACCACCCACUUACCCACCACUCUACAGCAACACAGAUGCAGACUGAGAGCAAAACAAACAUACAAUGUAAGAAUGUCAUGCUUUGAAUUAAAAAAAAAAUAUUUAUCAGCCUUACAAAAGUAUUCAGUAUUCCGAUGUGUAAUUUUUAAGAUCUUAAUUAUUAUUUAAAGGUUUUCUGGUAAUGAUGCUGCAAGUGCACGGCAAUGAAUAAUCCUCAUUUAGUAAUCCUCUCUACAUGUAAAGUCAGGCAUUUAGGGCUUAAACAAUGAAAAGACAGUCAUGAAUACAUAUUUCAUCCUUACAGAAAAUACUAAAUACAGUUCACCCUUUUUGGUUUAAUAAAAUUAGAUUUAUUUUACGCUUUGCUAUCUUGUUUAUUUUGGUCCUUUUAACUAAUUAUUAGAGCCACAUUUCAAAAGUUAGGGAUUUUGAUAGUUUGCAAAUAGUUAACACACAUUUUUUAAGGGUAAACGCACCAAGUCAAAUGUUGCAACAGAUUUUUUUCUUUUCUUUAAAUUCAUGUGAAAAAAUGUUCUUAUUAUAUUUGACGCCAGCGCAAAACAAAUAUGAUAGUGAUAAAAAACACAGACAGAAUUGUGUGAUACUCAAAAAAACACCUAAGACUGUCUCCCCGUUGACUGCAUUAAUUUGCAUCAGGUAAGGAACUCAACUGGGUAUAAAAAGGGCAUCUCAGAGAUGUCAAUUCUCUCUGGAGUUAAGAUUGAGUUAAGAUGAACCCAGAGUAGGUUCACCACUCUGUGAGAAACUCAGAUAAUUCAGCAAAUCAAGGGUUGUGUUCCUUGAAUCAUCAACUACAAUACAUAAUGUCAUAAAAAGAUUCAGAGGACCUGAAGGAAUCUAGCCGUGCUCUUUGUGCCCUCAGGUGGCACCUGGAUUAAAAACAGACGUGAUUGCAAUGGAGAUCACUGCACAGGCUCAAAAUCCUAUCAAACAGUGUGUUGCUGCAUCUAAAAAUGCAGGUUAAAAUUGUAAUAAAAGAGCAAAUCAUGUACUGUAUGAACAUGAUCCAGAAAGGGUAGAGACUUUUCAAAGCUCAAGCCUAUUAAGAUGGAUUGAGACAGAGUGAAAAAAUGUCUCUGAGGUCUGACAGCUCAAAAUGUGACAUUCAUCAUCAUGGAAUGCAUCUGAAUUCCAGAUUUUUAUUUAUUUAUUUAUUUUUAAUCAGAUCCCAGUUCAAAAGCCAUGCAGCACUCCUCAUAAUAGGCUAUAGGGAUGCAUAAAUGCCCAAUUGGUGCUUAAUGAUCUACCCAGGUUUUGGAGCAACUUAUAUGCUGCUUUCAAACCAAUGUCUUUUUCAGAGAAAGCCCAGAUAGUACAGCAAUAAGAUGCCUGACUAUAUUUUUUUCAUGUAUUACAACAGCAUGACUCUAUUGCAGAAGAGCCUGAGUGUUGAACUGGCCUGCUUGCAGUCCUGACUUGUCACUUUUAAAAUAUAUGGCAUUUCAGGACAUGAAGAAAUAUUACAACAAUUGAGCAACUGAUACUAGGGAUUCAACCGAUCUGAUAUUUGGAUUGGAUAUUGGCUCCGAUAUUGACAAAAAAAACUGGAUCAGAUAUCUGAUGAAUGAUGCCGAUCCAGCGUUCCAAUCCAGUCUUUUUUUCUAUGAAUUAAUAUCAUUCACAGCAAAACAGAGAUUCUGUUCACUCUAUAUUCUAUGUCUGUCUAUCCUUUUGCACUAAACGUUUACAAAGACGUCUUACUUCGUUUUGCUGUGUGCUAAUGUGCAAUUUGUUAUUUGUUAAUAAAUAAUAUUAAUUAAAUUCAUAUCUGUAUUAAUUUGUUACCUUUUUUUAACAAGGCUAAUGUCAAGCCUGAUACUUUCACUCACAGGGCAAGGUAUAAAGUUUAUUCAUUCAACAGUAGUAUUGGAAAGGAUAUUAGCCGAUAUGUUUAGACCAAAUAUCGGUAUCAGAUUGGAUUGGAAAAAAAUUGAUCGGUGAAUCUUUAACUGAUACUUAAUGUAAGGCAGCAUUACAUUUUUGUUGUAUAACCUUUCUAAAAUGAGCCAUUUGACUAUCAAAAGCCCUGGUCUCCUCAGUCCCCAAACCUUUACAGUGUUGUUAAAAUAGGUGAUGCAACAUCUGUGGCCAUAUAUCUGUCCCAACUGUUUAGAAAUGUGCUGUUGUAAUCAAGUUAAUAAGAAAACAUGAAAUAAAAUAAAAUAAAAUAAAAUAAAGUCAACAUCUGUUUUGUUGUUUUUGCACUAUUUUCAAUCAAAUUAAAUAAUUGCUUUUGCAACAUGGGCUGCAGGUGAUUAAUUUACGUCAAAUCAUUUUCAGCGUUGAAAAGAGUUAGAAUAAAAAAAAUUAUCUCUAUGGCUGCCUUUUCUUUUUUCUUUAUGAGCAGCAGACUAAAUCUUGCCGCAUUAUUAUUUCAUCCUGCCUUCUAUAUCGGAUGGCCUUGGUACCUUCACGGGUGGCACGGACACAAACGCACCACGCGUCUACCUGAUCCCUCCGCUGGCACCUGCUUCAUAUGACCCCGGCACGACAGCAGCAAGAAACCAAAUGAGCGCUUUAAAUAUUCAUAGACAGACUACUCGUCUCUGUACACACGCUACAGAUGAUCCGAGGCUCAGGUUUCAGCUUUUCCAGGUGGAAACCACGUCAGGCUGCUCGGAGAGGCUCGGGCUCCUGGACGAAUCACCGCGGAUUGAUUUCACUGUCGCUAUCCAGCAUGAAAGGAGUGUAACCGAACCCAGCCGCAUCACCUCUAAAUAUUACACGAGUUUUGUCCGCUUAGUUAUCUGCCUAAUUAUCAGCAGCAGGUAAAUGGACUCACUGGCUAUCUGAGAGGAGCGGAGGAGCCAUAUAUUAGGCACCUAAAGAGAAGUAGGAGCAUACCUGGGGCUCGGAGGGGGACCCAUAGGUGCUGUGAAGCUCUGCGUAAAGGAAGAGGAUGAAGAGCAAGACGAAGGCCCAGGAGAGGCCCAGGGAAGCUGCCUGACAGCUCACUCAAACCCAUCAGGUUGUAUGUUUUUUUUUUCAUUCACAGGAGAACCUAAAAUAGGCCUCUCUCUCUCUUUCUCUCACUCUCUCUGUUAACUUAAAAAGGAUGAGUUAAGGACAUGUUCCCACCAGCAAAGGUAUUUUUGAUGCUUUUCCUUGAGAAGGAAAUGUUAUGCAAUGCUCACAGAGUAACCACAAGUGCAGGCUUUAAAAAUGCUGUAUUCGAUAAUCAUUAGCCAUCUGGACGUGGACAUUUGAUCCUGCAGCAUCUCGAGCAGAGCUGCAGCCUCAACUGCAUCAGCUGACUAAAACUAAUCCCGGGAUGGGGGGCUGGGAGGAUGCACCAAAUAGUCCCUUUGAUGUGUGCCAGCAGGUUUAAUAUCUGAAAAUGAAGAUAGAUACAAGUGAAAAUGAAUUAACUAUAAGAAUAGGAUUAUCAACUAUUAUAGAGUAAUAGAUUUCUGUUCAAAUAGGUUUAGGGGCAUAUUAAAAAAGCCUUGAGUUUAAGAGGAAAAUCCAACAGUAUCUGUCUCACUCUUUUUCUUUACAUUAAACAUCACUGUGGCCUACGGGUCCCCACAAACUAAAGGAGCCAGAGGCCUGCAGGCCCGCAACGAGCUGUGAAGGCCUCCAUGGAUCCAAAGAAAUCAACCAAACAUGCAUCACAUCUUUAAGAGGCAUUGUGAUGAGGACAAGCGUGGUGGUUUGCAACAUAUAGUAUUUUUUGAGUAACAUUAGGCUUAUAUCUGUGAUUUAAUCAAAAUUACAAGAAGCUUAACAGUAAUAACAAAAAUCUAUCAAAUGUUUAUUGAAAAGGCCUAUCAGUAUUAUCUAUGGGUGUAUGACAACAUGAAUAAAAACAGAGAUAAGCUCAUUAAAAAUGUGGGUUAUUUGUAUGAAAAAACAUUUAUUUUUAGGCCUAGUUUUACGCCUCGUUAAAUCACGUGUUUAAGCCACUCAUUUCAUUAUUUAAAAAAUAAAAACAAUGCAAAAUAAUGUCAAAAUACGUAGAAUAAUAAUUGACUUGAAGGAUUUGGAGAAAUUCAGGCCUCUCUGUCUUUGCUACGGCAGGGGGGUUGGUCCAAAUUAUCAGUCAGGAAAUCGUUUAAUCCGGAGAGACAAACCCAAUCCUCAUCCGCUCAUGUUCGCUGUUCCCGGGUUAAAACAACGCCUCUUUAGUGAGUUACCCACCUUUGUUGGACCACAAAAGCCCGCGGUACCACAGGCCUUGAACGCAACAGAGCUACACGGAUAGUUUGGAUUAUCACUUGAGAGCACGGUGAGAUGGUGGAAAACCGGGUUUGUUUUAGCGGGUAAAUCCUCGGAAGAGAAGCAGGAUAGACGGUGUUUGGGUGCUGCUUCAUAAUAACGCCCACUUUUAAAAACACAGGUACGCAUUUCAGCACCAACAGAGGCUGCGCACUUAUAAGGUUGAGUUUUACAGGUAAAAUCCACAUACCGGUUUUCAUAUCAAGUCUAGAGGACGUGGUUGCUGUAGGCUUCUUGUUUUCCCAAAGUCAAAGUGUAACAUAUUAUUAGGAGCUUUUUAAAAAAAUUUUCCCUUGUUGUCUUGGUUGUGCCUGUCCCUUUAAAAAAGGUGCACGGGAUACCUUUCCUUCCUCAGUGUGUAGUUUGCACGCGCAGGUAAGAGGGAGGAGGCAGAGUUUAGAGAGAGGGAGAGAGAGAGACGAUGGAAGAGAGGGAAGAGAAGAGGAGAGGAGGAGAGGAGAGGAGCGCAGGGCUGAAUUUGACAUUUGAUACUCAGGAAGUCCAGAACGCCGCUUGGAUUUCUUUUGUUUCAUUGUAAUUCUGCAGUCCUGCUGCAGGCAACAAGGACCCUCGGCUUCUGUUGCCUCAACACAACUUGAAGAGAACAAGUCUUCAAAAAGAGAAGAGUUAAAAAAAACGGACUAAAAUGUCUGAUGGGUUCGAGCUCGGUGCGGUUUGUAGCUCCAGGUAUGGCGCACAACGAUGGAUUCGUCGGAAGGUAUGAUUUUAUUUCACACUUUACAUCAGCUUUUCUUAUUUUAGACCCUUUACAACUGAGGACGAUGUAAGCGAGGGGUGUGCAUGGUGUUAACGUAAAAUCCUACGAUUUAAUAUCUUUUGAAAGUAGUCACAAUUCAUCAACAAAUACAGGGAUGAUAGCAUGAAUAAUACCCAGUGAUAGAUUUUAAUCACCUUUAAAAAUAGGUUCACAGAUCUGCAGUUUAUAGACCUCGAAAACACAUUUAUGAGCACCGUCAGUCAGAUCUAAUAAAGUG